AUUGAACGCUGGCGGCAGGCCUAACACAUGCAAGUCGAACGAGUGGCGGACGGGUGAGUAAUUUCUGGGAAACUGCCUGAUGGAGGGGGAUAACUACUGGAAACGGUAGCUAAUACCGCAUACCAUCGGAUGUUCCCAGAUGGGAUUAGCUAGUCGGUGGGGUAAAGGCUCACCUAGGCGACGAUCCCUAGCUGGUAUGAGAGGAUGACAAGCGAAACGGGAACUGAGACAAGGUACAGACGACUACGGGAGGCAGCAGUGGGGAAGAUUGCACAAUGGGCGCAAGCCUGAUGAAGCCAUGCCGUGUGUAGGAAGAAGGACGUCGGGUUGUAAAGUACUUUAAGAGGGGAGGCGUUACCCGCAGAAGAAGCACCGGCUAACUCCGUGCCAGCAGCCGCGGUAAUUC
This 406-nucleotide ribosomal RNA is filed under the name uncultured bacterium. RNAcentral describes it as "partial 16S ribosomal RNA". It matches the Rfam family "Bacterial small subunit ribosomal RNA", at positions 29 to 526 of the family's 1533-position model. The record is from RNAcentral.